UUGUUUGUAAUCCUUUUCUUCCUUGUUUUUUCAUGCUGCUCAUGUUACUUCAGGGUCUGUUUGACUGGAGCAUCCGUAGCGCUGAGGCGCUGAGUCAUGGCAGUUUGGCGGCGAGAAGCUGACAAUCAGCCAGAAACUGCGUAUGGAGAGCCUGAAUUUACCCGCUCCGGGCUUGGUGUGGGUUCUGAGGGGCGCAGACUGCUCACCCCAGGACCACUUCACCCCAGCAUUGCCAAGUGAUCCUGAGCAAACAACAUUCAGUUGGUUUAAGACUCCCUUUGCCCGCACAGCUGAAGAGGUCACAGAAUUGAUCUUUUAGCGCCUGCUGCCAUGUUGGAUCUCCAUUGAACAUUUUUUUUACCUUCUCUGAUGUCUUUGCUGGCCCAUUGUCGGGUUCUAUAUGAUGGCAAUACCUGAUUCAAACCAUACUUCCUCUAAGGUUUAACUUUUAGCACUCAGAGGUAGAGACAAUGGCAUAAGAAAUAUUUGAACUGAAAGUGGGAAGAGCUUGAAUACUUCUGAUAGAAAUUGAUUAUUAUAACUAGGAUAAGAACAAAUGGAUGGUGGAUAAGAAAUCAUGUUUUCUAUUCUUUUGACUGCCCAAUAUCCCUUGCAAGGACACACUUUUUAAAAUAUUUAUGCCUAUAUAAAUUGCAUAUAUGGUACUGCUCUUCCCCAAACAGUAUACCAAAUCUCUUCCACUUUUGUAAUGUACCAAGAACUCUUAAGUGAUGUAUAGUUCUCUUAGGUAAAAUUGCUAGAUGACUUAGAGCUAAGGGUUUUUGUUGUUGUUGUUGUUGUUACUCUUUAGCCUGGUUACAUUUUUUGUUUAAAAUUCAUUUAAGUUUAUUAAUAUUUCAAUGUUAGUCCACUUUUCCUAUUCUUACUGAUUUAUUUUGUGAAUAUGUAAAGCAAUGACAUGUUUUCAAAAGUCAAAGUAUAUAGAAAAAUACACUCAAGAGAACUAUCACUCCCUU
Ictidomys tridecemlineatus (thirteen-lined ground squirrel) is the source of this 977-nucleotide long non-coding RNA. RefSeq lists it as uncharacterized. The record is from RefSeq and is a predicted model, not a curated record. NCBI's taxonomy places the organism in Eukaryota, Metazoa, Chordata, Mammalia, Rodentia, Sciuridae.